This is a long non-coding RNA of Ailuropoda melanoleuca (giant panda), 2054 nucleotides long. RefSeq lists it as uncharacterized. The record is from RefSeq and is a predicted model, not a curated record. Lineage: Eukaryota; Metazoa; Chordata; Mammalia; Carnivora; Ursidae. The transcript has 3 exons.
CUCUCUUCCUUUCUCUCUAAAAUGUUUUUAAAAGUUCGUUCAUGUAGUGUCGACAAUAACAGUGUUUUCUAUUUAAGUGAAAAAUAAAUGUUCCUGGUUCACAACAUCAACAGCACAGAAGGGUGGCUGUUCUCCAUCUUGGACGCUUCCCUGCAGAACCAAGCAUGUGUAUAUAGAUUCCAGCACAAAUGGGCUCAUCCUAGAAGGAUGCUUUGAAGGUUUGAGAAACACUAACCACUCAUGGGUGAGACCAGAAGGUGAAGCUCUUCCCAAUUAGAGCAUUACUUUUGGGGUCUUAAAGUUGCCUUGGCCAUGUGUGAAACCACUGCAUUUCCUGAAGCCAAAUCCUUGGAGGGUCUGAGAGCAGCUGACCUUGCCGGGAACCAGGCACACCCCAGCAGGGAGGGCUGAUGCAGAAAGGGAAGGGGCAGGGCUAUGAGGGUGGUCUGCAGCUAGAGGGGUUCCUGGAAGAGGCCAGGUGUGUGUGUGAGGCACGGCCCACGACCCCACCCACUCCUGUGCCAGGUGUUGGGGCGAGGAGGCGCCUCCUGGACCCCCUGCACUGGCAGGGUUGCCAGGCGGGAGGGCGAGUUGCCUGGCAUCCAAGGGGCUCUGGGCACCACCUUCCCCGACCAAUCACCGCUUGGGGGUGGAGCUACAUCUCUGCGGUCGGAGUUGCAGCAAGUUGCACACCUGGGGCAGAAGAAGGGGCGCUGGGAGAGAGAGUUGCCUUGUGGAGUUCCCCACUGAAACCGAAGCAGGUGUGCAGGCUUCAGGUCAGAGGCGCCUUCUUCUCCCCAGCUGACAGCACUUCUCUGCUCUGGCUCCACGAGACCCGAGGUUUUGAACAUCAGCAUCUGAGUCAGCGAGGCGGCUUGUCGCAGGACACCAGCAUUCAGAGAAAGCACAGGGACGUUUGACUUGAUGUCAUAUCUAUGUCAGGACUGGAGGUUCCAGCACAGCCCUGACCCAGAUCCUCUGUGGAGGCUUCUAGAGGACAUGGAGCGCUGUCCACACCCACAGAACACGGGUCUCCCCAGGACCCGCCACGGGAGGAGGAGGUGAGGAGAAACCGCCUGAGUGGGGACUGCCAAGGGCUUCAUGCUCACAGGACCCCGCGGAGGCAGGACGAGCUGUGUAGACGGUGGGGUUUCUGUGGUUUGUGUGCGGUACUGUGGGGCUGUGUGCGGGGCUGUGGGGUCUCCCCUCUCUGGGCUCGGAUCCGCUGGGCUGGUCCGCGGGUCCGUGUUUACGCACACAUGGAUCCGGUUCCUGGGGCUCCGCAGGCAGUCUGCAGUCAGGGAACCUCCGCCGCCCACCUGCUGCUCGUGCUCCCCGGGCCUCGGCCCCGCAGGGUCCUCCCCGCGUCCACACCCGGUCAGGGCUGUCGGUUCGGCAUCUGGAGGUUGGGUAGCGACGGCGCGCGCUCUGCAGACGGCUGUGGGGACAGCAGAUGUGCUCAGGGCGUCGGUUCUUCCCCGAGCGCAGAGUGUCUUCCGGUCUCCACGUGUCUCCCUCGCCGUCUGUCGUUGGUGUCUCACGGGUGUCUGAGAGCAGGGCUGUCCGUCUUCCUCGACGUCUGUCGGUGUCUCAUGGGUGUCCGUCUGUCGUUGGUGUCUCAGGGAUAUCCGAGAGCAGGGCUGUCCAUCUCCCUCUACAUCUGUCAUCAGUGUCUCCCGGGUGUCCGAGGACAGGGCUGUCCGUCUCCCUCGAUGUCUGUUGUCGGUGUCUCACGGGUGUCCGAGAGCAGGGCCGUCUGUCUCCCCUCGACGUCUGUCGUUGGUGUCUCACAGGUGUCCGAGGACAGCGCUGUCCGUCUCCCUCGCCGUCUGUCGUCGGUGUCUCACGGGUGUCCGUCUGUCGUUGGUGUCUCAGGGGUGUCUGAGAGCAGGGCUGUCCGUCUUCCUCAACGUCUGUCGUCAGUGUCUCACGGGUGUCCAUCUGUCGUUGGUGUCUCAGGGGUGUCCGAGAGCAGGGCUGUCCAUCUCCCUUGACAUCUGUCGUCAGUGUGUCCCGGGUGUCUGAGGACAGGGCUGUCCAUCUCCCUCGACAUC